Molecule: ribosomal RNA, 254 nt
Filed under: uncultured bacterium
Lineage: Bacteria
Description: partial 16S ribosomal RNA
Rfam family: Bacterial small subunit ribosomal RNA
Source: RNAcentral
UACAGGGGGUGCAAACGUUGCUCGGAAUCAUUGGGCGUAAAGCGCACGUAGGCGGUCUGUUAUGUCGGAUGUGAAAGCCCUCGGCUCAACUGAGGAAGUGCAUCCGAAACUGGCAGGCUAGAGUACUAAAGAGGGUCGCGGAAUUCCCGGUGUAGAGGUGAAAUUCGUAGAUAUCGGGAGGAACACCUGUGGCGAAAGCGGCGCACUGGACCAUAACUGACGCUGAGGCGCGAAAGCUAGGGGAGCAAACAGGG